UUGAAACGAACGGUUGAAUAACACGGAAAACGCGCAAAACUCGGUGAAAAAGUGAAAAAUUUAUAAAAAAGAAAACAUAUAUACACACACACAUGUGUAUGUAGUUAGAUAAGUGUGAAAAUAUAAGUUUAUUUCGCGUAAUUUAUGCCCGAUGCCGUAGCUAAAAUACAACAACAAAAGCAAUAAAUACUCGACAAACUAAAGUAAAAGUCUCCACUGCCUUGCAUUGCUUGGAGAAACGACAAAAAUUAUGCCAAAGUUCUAACUUAUUUUAAUUUCGCUUGUUUACGCGCCUUAAAAUAUGCAGCAGAAAUGCAAACGAGCGCGCGAAAGUUGCACAGCCGCUGAGCGAUGUCUCAGUGCGUAAAUCGGCGAAACGUAAAAUAUAAUUUACAUACACACUAAUAGUACAUACAUACGCAGAAAAGCGCCUAAAACAAAAGCAGAAAACCAAUCAGUGUUUAAAUUUAAUUUUCUUGCUGCAGAAAAGUUGUUAAAACAGCAAAAGCAAAAUUCUCAAGAUUCCUAAAAAUAACGUACACAAGUCUGAACAAGCGUUUACAAGCUGCGCCGACAGCUAAAUGGAGCAGUAAAUUAAAUCAGCAACAAAAAAAUAAAAACGCAGCGCUUUGAGCAUUUGGCUCAGCUAUUAAAUCCUCGAGACGUGGACAAAAUUUCAUGUAGAGCAUAAGCCCACAUAGCAUACUUUAAUAAAAUAUUUGACUACUUACAGCCACGUGACCAAAUAAACGGCAACAAAGCAGCAGAAAGAGAAGCAAAAAAAUAAAAAUAAAAUUUCAAAAUAAAAUUAAAAAUAAUAAUGAAAUUGUGAAAUUACGAAAACAGUGCAAGAAAUAAUAAAAAAAAUAUUCAAAACAAAAACAGCAAGAAAAAAUAUUAAAGAAUUUUGUCAGCAAAAAUUUCCAAUCUAAGUAUAUUCAAUUUAAAAGCUACCCUCAGUGUGCUCCUCACUCAGCCAGGCAGCUAUUGAACACGGAAAAAGCGAGGUGCUUCGCAUUGCAUUUCCGCAUUUGAAGUGAAAGCAACUGGGGCGAAUAAAUCAAAAGCAACAGUAAUAGCGACAUAACAGCCACACACAAUUGUGUUUCAGGCAUUAAAGUCAUUUUACUGGAAAUAAGGUGCGGACACAAACCGAGAUUCUUCUUUUCGAAAUCUGGCAGGAGAAUAAAAAUUUUUAAAAGGCCAACUGGAGAAAACAGCAAUAAAAUAUCGAACAUGCACAUACACACGCAUAAACGAGAGUUAUUAUGAGCCGUGCCUUUUCGCUGCAGGCAUUACCAUUUCAGAUAUGCAAACACACAUACACUCAUACACAUAUGAAACGCAAAAGCAUGAGACAAAUAAAUGAGAGCACAGCAUUGGUUUAAAGAGGCGAAUGUGCAUACAUAUUUAUGUAUUCGUAUAUGUAAAAUAAUCAGCCGCAGCAACAUCUGUUGAAUGCCGAUGUAAUCGAUUGGAAUUGCCGCAACGACAGCAAAAAACACGGCGCAGGGCUAUGCAGACACAGAUACACAACCAACACAUGCGCAUGCAAUUAAAUAGUGAUUUAGAUUUUUUGCCCGACAAUAACACAGGAUAUUAAAACUGUGGCAAAUAUAACCGUUAAGGGCGUUUAAACACAAAAAAACCAAAGCAUAGAGAUAAGCAAUACUUGUGCUUGCCGAGCAGUAAGGGCCAACGCGGUGGACACGCACUUCGCUCAUUCCAGCGCAGCCCCACCGUAGCAGUCUUCGUGGCACGCAACAUGGCCGUGCCCAUCGAUGAGGGCGUGCUGAGCGCUUUGCGCGGCAUAGCGAGCAAAAAUACACGUCUGCCCAAGCCGUUGCUCAUCAAAGUUUAUGUGUCCAGCUUGAAGGAGGAAUUCUGCCAAGAGCGACGCAUGCUGCUGGAACUAGUAGGACCCGAACUACAGUCCAUUUACGAUGACAGACAAAUCGAGAUUGAAAUCGUCGACAUGCACUUCGGCACUGGCCCGUUGCAAAUUAUGCAAGUCGAACAAGAUCCAUAUAUACUCCAUGACUAUCUGCAUGAAAUCGAGACUUGCUACAACAAUUCGAAAAGUGUCUUUUUCCUGGCACUUAUCGGCGAUAGCAUCGGUCCCAUGCCAUUACCGACGCACAUCGACGAAGACAUUUUCACCGACAUACUACAGCAGGCGCACACGAGCACUGACGACCGAAACCUGCUACAAAAGUGGUACGCAAAGGACAGCACAGCAGACGCAAAAACUGCCAACAGCAGCGGAGAGGGGAGCGUUGCGCCCGCACACGCAUAUGUGCUCAAGCAGGACUAUCGUUCAAUGUUACUUGAAAAAUGGCAUCCGGAGUAUUUGCAGCUGCGUGACGCUAUUGAGCGCUCGCUGCAAAGCAUUAAACAAAAUGCAAACUGCUCUAAAACGCAGCCGGACGACUUCACCAAGCGCGUGCAGAAACUAAGAGAAACUCAACUGGAAAAGGAAGUGCAAAGAGCACUGGAGCUUUCGAAUGACAAAAUUUUGGCUGUGUUUCGUGAAUGGUCUUCGCAAAUGAGCACCAAAAAUGCGGAGGCCGGCGAACGGCUGAGGAAAAUGAAAGAUGAGCUCACUAUGAAUUUGUCGUCCGACAAUUAUACCACACUAGUUGUCGCCGGCAAAUCGAAUGAUGGCACAAUCGAUCCUGACAAUGAGGACCACGAAACAUAUUUGAGCAAAUUUAAAAACAAAGUAUUUGACAAACUACGCUUUCUCAUCGAAGAGCAUAUAACCAACGAUCCUGAUGUCAUCAAGGGGAGAAGAAAGACUGUGCAGGAAAUUUUCCACGAACAUGCCACACACUUACGCAUCCUCCGCGAGCAUCACGAUGCCGCCGCACUUGCCUCGAGUCGCGUGCCCGGCCGCCUGCGUCAAAAUCUGCUGGCCAAUUUCCGCAAUGGCAGUCGCCAUGCGCCCUACUUCAUCUACGGGCCACACGGCAGCGGCAAGAGCGCGCUCAUGGUCAACUUGUACCACCAGUGCCGCGAUUGGUUCAACUCGACGCGCGUUUAUCGCGUUAUGCGCUUCGCCGCCGCCUCACCACGUUCCGCCUACAAUCUCGAAUUAUUACGUGUGAUUUGCCAACAAAUCUCCAUCAUUUACGAUAUACCCGAGGGUUAUCUGCCCAAAGACGCCUCAUUCGAUCCGGUGUAUAUCAACAGUUGGUUCCAGAAUCUGUUGCGCCGCAUCGAGGAUAUGAAUAAUGAUAUAUUUUUCAUAUUCAUCGAUGACUUGCAUUUAUUGAAUCCACUCGAUUGUGAUGUGGUCGCGGCGUUAUCCUGGUUGCCGACAUCUUUGCCCUGGAAUGUGCAACUUAUUUGCUCGACAACCACGCCCAUCGAACAGUUGCGCUUCACACCCAUACAACGCGAUCGCUUCAAGUCCGCAGAGUUUCUUUUCGAUUUGUCAACGGAGGAGAAUCGCACGGAAUUGCAUAAGCCUCUAGCGCUUGCCGCCGGUUUGCCGGAUAUUUCAUUUACAGAUUUCGUGGCGCACGAAUUCGACCGUUUGGAGGCGUGUUAUGGCAGAAAAUGUGUGGCACGCUUGGCUGGCUAUAUCACAUGCUCGGAGUUUGGCCUAUCGGAAACGGAGUUGUUGGAGCUGCUGAUGCCCACUGAGGAUCCGGAAAUGUUCGUCGAUACAGAGCGCGGCAAUUUCAACUUUUCCACAUUCAAGCAGAUACACAAUGAUAUGAAAUUCCUACUGCGCGAUAAAAUAAUGUCUGGCAAAGUGCUGCUGCAGUGGCGCCACAGCUACUGUGCGGAGCUCUCGAGAAAGCGCUAUAUGGACGCUCAGAGCACACGUGCCAUGCACAUAGCCAUUGCCAAUAUAUUCUUUCAGCAGGAGAGUGAGGAGAACGACGCCAGCACUAGUGAGAAUGCCUCAGGUGAAAGUGACAAACACUCAGUUAUUAGUCAAAAGGAGAAGGAGAGCAUAUCGGCAUCCGAACGCAAAUCAUCAUCACAUCACAAUGAUGACACAUCCACUUUUUAUAAUCCCAUUGCCGCCGAUGUCUCGUACAGCAUGCGUCAUGUGGAGGAGAGUUGGCAUCAUUUGAUGCGCUCCGAUGAUAUUGCGAAAUUUAAGCAAAUUGCUGUUUGUAAUUUCGACUUUCUUUUGGCAGCGGUUCAAACCGUCUCCAUCAGCUAUCUGCGUUGCCUCAUCGAGCAUGUGCGUUGCUAUCUGCUGGAUCGCGAUAUCGAACUCAUCUAUUAUACAAUACGCAAGUCGAGCGACGUGCUCACACGUGAUCCAAUGCAGCUUGGCUCACAGCUCAUCUCCUGGCUGCGGCCAAUCAGCGAACAUGACGAGAACGACAACUCCCUGCUGAGCAUAACGGUACGCUCGGCGACCGCCUGGUGCGACGGCUACACUGUGCCGCUGCUGGUGCCACUCACCGGCUGGCUGCCGGCCACUUUGCCCUCGCAGAUACGCGUGAUGACGGUGACCGGCACCGGACAGGUGCGUGACGUUUGCGUCUCGCCCACCAAGCAACAUCUCAUAUUGGCAACCAAAUCCGGUGACGUGCAAUUGUGGCACAUAAUGAGCAACUCGUUGGAGCACAUUUUUAAAGGUCACACCGCCGCAGUCACGUGCCUGCUAGUUGCACAACAAUCCGAUAUCCUGCUGACUGGCUCCGAGGACAACACGGUGCUCGUCUGGAACGUGACGACGCGUGUGCUGAAGACUCAUAUUAAAUCUCAUGGUGGCAUUGUGACGUGCGUCGCAGCUGGCGUCAAUAGCACGUUGGCCAUUAGUGGCAGUGAGGACUCGACGAUUGCAAUUUCAGAUAUACACAGCGGCAGAUUGCUGCACAAAAUCACACAUCAUCGCGCUGCUGUGACGAGCGUGAAGGUUAGCAAUGCCUGCGAUGUGUUGAUUUCAUCAAGUCGCGAUAAAACGAUUUGCUUAUGGUCCUUGGACGAUUAUACGCUGCUGAACAGCAUGCAGAUGUGCAGUCCGGUGCGGCGAAUUGACAUCUCAUGUGACUCGGUCUUUCUGUUGGCGCACUGUGAAGAUAAUGUGCUGUAUUUGCGCACAUUGGCCACUGGCAAGGAACUGCAUGCCCUCAAAGGUCACAAGUCACAGCUCCAUGCCAUUGCCAUCGCUAAGGAUAGUCAACGCGCCGUCGUUGGUGGCGAGGACACACGCGCACUCAUUUACGAUAUGCACUCCGGUCGCCUCAUACGCUCAAUGCCACCCAAUCCCGGUUCGAUUUCAGCUCUAUAUAUAAUGGAUAACGAUGAUUUUCUUAUCACAGUCGGCGGUAAUAAAAUCACUUUCUAUUCAUUCCGUAACGAAGAACUCUACGUACACCCGUACUCGCAUAAUCAGCGCCGAAAACGUUCAUUGAAACGUGCGCAGCAAUCGCAACGUUCCCCAUCGACCACGCUGCCACCGAUUACAUGUUUCGAUAUAUCACGUGAUUCGCAAUUGGCCGCCAUCGCUUCGAGUCGCAGCGUACAUAUUUUGAAGAUCAACACACCCGAGUAUCAGACGACUCUGGAUGGACACGCAGCCCCCGUGACAUGUUUAAAUUUUGCGCCGAACGGUGAGUACUUGGCAACGGGUGCGGACGAUCGUACGGUGAAUGUUUGGAAUUUGGCCUUGGGUGAGGUAACCAACUCCUUUAAGGGUCACAAUGCGUCGGUUUGUUGCGUUGUUGUGCUCAUGGACUCACGCCGUAUCAUCUCGACCGAUCGCGAUUCCAUGAUGUAUGUGUGGUUGGCCGAAGGCGGCAACUUAUUGCAAACCAUACAGGGACCAUACAAGUUUUUGGCAGCCACAAAUAAUAUGAAGUUCGCGGUCUCUACAAAUGGUGACAACACAUUGAAGAUCUGGUCACUGACGCGUGAAGAUGAAAAGUACACCGUUUCACAUUCGGACGAGAUCACUUGCUUCACAAUCACCGCCGACAGUUUGUACAUAAUAACCGGUUCGCGUGAUAUGUCCUUAAAGGUAUGGCAAGCCACUGGCGGCAAGCUGGCACAAGUGCUCGUCGGCCAUACCGAUGCAGUGAACUGUGUAGCAGUGUCAGUGACCAACAAGACACAAGUCAUAUCCGGUUCAAAGGAUACCAAUCUCAUCAUUUGGGAUCUGCAUACCGGCGAGGAGCUGCAUACGCUGGCCGGCCAUUUAGCACCGGUGCUGGGCGUCAAAGUGUCGGCAGAUGGUUCAACGGCCAUUUCGGGCAGUGACGAUAAGACACUCAUCGUUUGGGAGACCAAACGUGGCUUGGCGCUCACUUCGCUACAAAUGCAUGUGCCCUUCCAACGUUUCGACAUCAGCCUGGAGUGUUCGCGCAUUUUAGUGCAAUUGAUGGAGAGUUUCAAUUUACCGGUUAUUUGUCUACACAACACACCGGCACAAUACGUUAAAUUGCCCACCUACUCGGCGCCGGCAAUGGAUGCGGAAGACUUACGCCCACAAGGUCCCAAGCGUCAAAUGAAGCGUUUACUCAAGAAGGAGGUAUCGCUGGACACCUACACGUGGCAGAAGAAAUACGGUCAUCUGACGUCAUCGGUUAUGAUGGCACAAGUAGAUGAGCGGUUGAAGCGGCGCUUUUCUGUCUCCGCCAGCAUGGAGGAGAUUUCGAAAAUAGCCGAAAUGAAAACAAUCACUUCGCAGACCAAUCUGGGUCCGGAGCAAGCCGCUUUGGCGCAAUCGCAGCACUUCGAUCAGCUGGAGGCAUUAUGGAACAAACGCUCGCCACCGCGCAGGAGACACAAUGCGGGUCUCUCACGGCAAACAUCGCUCGUCGAGGAUCGCCUUGAGUCAUCCGAUGACGAUGAGUAUCACGACGAACGAACAGUGCAUUCGAAAACCAGCUCGCGUAAUUCCCUGCAGCAACCCAUUAUCUAAGGAGCACCCAAGUCCAACAGCAUAACCCAAAAGCAAGCAUAUUGAAACACCCGUCAACUAGACUCACAUUCUCACUAGACAUCUAAGCUAUACAUACCUAUGUAUUUGUUGUAAUAUGCGUGUUGUAAACAAUGCAAUGUGCUCUCUGAAAUCCUACACUGAGUGGGGCGUCAGUAGCAGCCUGCGCCUGCGUCCUUGACUUAGCUAAUCGUGUACACUCGAGUCAAUCUGAUUUUAUUGCCUGCAUUUUUUAGAUGAUUUCGAUGACUAUAUACGGGCGACGCUUCAGUAAUUUCGAUUCACCCGUUUCCUAACUUCCACACAUUCAUAGAAGCGAAAGUAAAAACCGCAAUGAAAUUACCAUUUUCGGAAACUUACCUCAAAAACUGCUGAAAUCUUAGAGCAAAGUAUGAUUUUUGUAGUUUUAAGCACACAAAUAAUUAAAAAAAAAUAAUAAAAAUAUAAAAAUAACAACAAACAAGUAAUAUUACGGGUAGUUAACCGUUAAACACACAGAGUGCACAUAAAAUGCGUUUCAAUUAAAAUUUUGUCAAAUUAACACACACGCACACACACACAGGCAAGUGAACGGAGUGUUGCGUGAGAAGAUAUUGCUGUCAUUACACAGAAACCAUUAAUUUUCUUAAGAAGCAAAAACUGUAAAUUAAGAAAAUGAUUUUUGAGUUUUGAUUUAGGGGUUGUAUCCACUAGCAAGUCCCAGAAGUCAGUGUUUUUUGUGUUUUUUUUUUUGAGGACGCAUUUUAUAAUAAAAAUAAAUAAAUAUUUUGUAUUUACAGAUUUGAAAUUUCAAAAAAAAAUUUUUAAUUUUUUUAUUUUUUAAAUUUUUUUUAAUUUAAUUUUUAAAUUUUUAAUUUUUAAAUUUUUUUUUAUUUUUUUAUAAUUUUUUUUUUUUUGGUUAAUACUUUUUAGAGUUUUGGGCGCCUAUUACUGUAAAUUUAAAAAUUCUAAAAAAUAGGCUCAUAUCUCCGAAACAUUUUCCCGAAGUAACUUCAAAUUUUCGGAGAACGCUCUCACACAUCUUAUGCGUUAAAUAUAUAUGAAAAUAAAUCUUUGGAAAUCGACAAGUGGAUAUAACCCCUUAAUCUAAUAGUAAUAACAAUAAGAAAAUGCACCAGGCACACAACAAAAUCAUCAUCAACAUUUCGCACACACAAGCAAGAGAAAAAUAUAUUAUCUUAUACAACAACAACUGCAAUGACAACGCAACUUUAACGGAUUCACAAUGCAUAUCAUUUCGCUGCAGGAGGAGGAGGAUACCGUUAGCAAUUUUGAUUAGCAAACACCAGGAUCAGCGAAAUAACUAAGCAAGGAGAUUUAGAAGCAAGCGCAUAAGAUUGACGUACAGUUUCUCAGCUACAAAUGAUGAGAGAGUUGGGAGUAAUGUGAAGAGAACCAACACAAAAACAAAAAACUAUGAGUAGAAGGUUGUGUGAACAUUAGUAUGCAUACUUGAAGAGUAUUAUGCAAAAAUAAAUAAAUAAUAUAGCAAAAAUGACAAGCAAUAGGCUUCUAAGCAACUCUGUUGUAAGUUUCUAGUUUUUUUGACGUUUCUCAGUUGCGAAAAAUAAUAAGAAUUUAGCUGAUAAGUCGUAAGGUGUUAAGGUUUAAGUUUUAAGAAAAAUAUUAUAUAUUUCUUGUUUUUUUUUUUAUCGACAAACUGCACUUGCGUUCUUUGUUUCUAUUACCAAGUAAAUAACUGUUAAAUAACCGUAAAGCUACCGACUGUACAUUCAUGAUAAAUGUGCGAAUGGCAAAUAGUACUAAAGCAAAAACAAAAAACUAUAUACAUAUUAGAAGACACUUAGCCAGCAAAAACAAAACUAUUUAAUAAUAAAUAGUAAUAACAACAACACAAAGUAAAAGUAGACGAAAGGAAACUAAAAAAGGGGUUAAAAGCUGAACUAUGCUUACAAAAUGAAACAACAAUUUGCUGUUAAUAACACAAAAGAAAACAAAAAAGCCGUUGCUUACAUAAUUACAGACAUGCAUAACAGUUUAUUUGUAUGUAUGUAUGUAUGUCUUUUUUGAAAAUAAAUUAUAUGCGUAAGAAACAAUGACAACAACUCCCACCAUUAGCUGCUGAUUUUAUAAACUGUAGAAAUUCAAGCUCUUUUCUCACGCCAAUAACAAAAUAAUGUAUACUUGAUGAUAAGAGAGAGGUUUUUGGCAGUGAAGGCGCUCAGUUUUGUGAAAAAUACAUAUACAUACAUUUUUUUUUUAAUUAAUGCGUUCAAAUGACUUUUAUACUAGCGAUUCCUGCUGAGGAAGUAAAAACAUUUCAAAUACAUAAUUACUGAGUUUAGCGAAAAUUACUCGUCAGCGAUGCGCUUGGGAUAUGGCGAAAGAAACAAACAACUGGUAUAAGUUGCAUAAACUGAUAUAAGGCGCUUAAACUAGUAUAAGUCGCUUAAACUGGUAUAAGUGGGUAUAAGUCGCUUAAACUGGUAUAAGUCGCUUAAACUGGUAUAAGUAGCUUAAACUGGUAUGAGUCGCUUAAACUGGUAUAAGUAGUUUAAACUGGCAUAAAUCAAUGUAGAUAGAAAAAUGUGCGAUAAUGCCAGUUUAAUGGAUUGUACACAUACGCAUUGAUGUCAGCUCGCUAACUUUGUUGUUAAACUUUAAAUGAAGAUUUUGUAAUAAGAGAGAUUUCUUAAUGAGAGAGAUUUUAUAAUGAGAGAGAUUUUUUUAAUGAGAGAGAUUUUCUAAUGAUUUUCUAAUGAGAGCAGCGAAAUAGCGAAGCAAUGACGUAUUUUAUUACUUUCUUUUGCUAGAGCGGAACGCUCAAGCAUAGCGGAGCAGUAAAGUGGCGAAUAGAAGAUGUUUAUUGAGUUUAGGGUUGCGAAUUUUUUUUGAAUAAAAACUUUCUAAUAAAAAAUUCUGCAUAAAAUUUUUAUGAAUUUUGUAACGUUUUUUAUUAUAAUUCAUUAUUAGCCACCCUGAUUCUGUUUACAUUUGAUUCUGAUAAAUUUGAUAUCUGAUCAACUGAGACAGUUUGAGGUUAACUCUGAUAACUAGUAUAACAACAUAUAGAAUUAGAUCUAAGUAGGUACUCUUCAGUUAUACUUAUAAAUUGUAUAAACAAGCAAUGGAACUACAAACCAAAAACACACAAACUUUAAACUAUAAUUAUUACAGUAAUUUAUUUUGAAAAAAAAACUAAAAUUGUUAACUACUUUUUUUAAUCACACAUACAUAUAUUAUAUACUAUAUAUAAGAGAACAAGUUAUAUACUAAACCGUAAGAUAUUUUGUAAAGAGUGAAAAAAAAUAAAAAACACUUUAAUAAAGGCACUCAUGUAAUAAAAGCAAUUGUUAAAUAAUAAAUAAAAUUAUGCAAAAAAAAUAUGAAAAAUAAAUGUCAUAAAGAAAUCAUAAUAAAUGGAGACAAUCAAAUAUUUGCAAGUCGCACACACACACACACGUAUAAACAAAUAAAUUAUUAUAUUUAAGAAACAUUUCCUACAGGGCAACUUACUUGGAAAA
Molecule: RNA transcript, 10395 nt
Organism: Bactrocera neohumeralis
Lineage: Eukaryota; Metazoa; Arthropoda; Insecta; Diptera; Tephritidae
Gene name: protein qui-1
Exons: 28
Source: RefSeq, a predicted model, not a curated record